Molecule: long non-coding RNA, 341 nt
Filed under: Homo sapiens (human)
Lineage: Eukaryota; Metazoa; Chordata; Mammalia; Primates; Hominidae
Description: HSALNT0266816
Source: RNAcentral
GGCUGGGCCAGAACCCAGGGCUCCUCAUGGCCUGGUCCGGGCCUUUCCUCCCACGGGUGGAGCAGUAGGAGAACCCUGAGCUCCAGAGUGAAUCUGGCCAGGGUUCGAAUCCGUAUGGCUCUCUUACCGUGGGCAAGUCACGGUUCCUCUCUGGCCCUCAGUUUCGUCUUCUAAAAUGGACAUACACGCUUGUACUGCGGGGUAAACCGAGGUGGUGAAUGUAAAGCCCUUAGUAGGUGCACAGUCCAUGUUUGUUGUACGAAUUCUAAGAGAAGCGAGAAAUGAAUAUGAGAAACAUUUUUAAAAUGGUGACAACACAUUUAGAUUAAUAAUUAUAUUUU